RNAcentral lists this long non-coding RNA (650 nucleotides) under Brassica napus (rape). Its description in RNAcentral is "long non-coding RNA (BNAP_LNC005279)". The record is from RNAcentral. Lineage: Eukaryota; Viridiplantae; Streptophyta; Magnoliopsida; Brassicales; Brassicaceae.
UGGAGCCCAUUAGCGAGCUUGAAAACCAAAACCACAAGAGAAAAAUGAGCCUAAAUGCAAUGAAACAGAGCAGAUUAGUCAACAAUCAAGUAAAAUCUCAACAAACUAAAUCAUCAAACAAAGACACCAAGAAGAAGAAGAAGAAAGAUUAAAACUUUACUGAAGACAUGAACAAAGCUAUCAUCUUUCAUGAAACCCAUUAGCUAACUUGAAAAUCAAAACACCACUAAAACAAAUUACAGAACAGAGCAGAUUAAUGGAUAAUAAGGUAAAGACGAAGAAGUAAGAGAUGAAACAAAAAAAGUGGAAACCUUUGAAGGGUUUUACGGCAAGGGACGAGGAAGAAGGAGCAGCACACGAGCUUAAACUAAGACAUAGAACAUCUAUAGACCAAUCUGGAGAUAAACAAAGAGAAAAACCGUGACGAUCUCGCCGGCCCGCAACAAUUACCCAUGGUUUCAACAAUGACGGAUCAAAUCAAACCGAUCGUAGUUCGAGAGAUCGAGGGAACUUAAUCGAUGAAAAGGUGCUAACCGAUCUCGUUAAUCUGCCUGAAGCUCUGCUUCCCUUCCACCAUGGAUGAUAUCGCUUCAACUCUCUCUCUCUUCUCAAAGAGAUGAAAGCCCAGAGAGCAACACGUGGCUCAGAAU